UGGCUCAGUGGUUAAGAGCACUGACUGCUAUUCAGGAGGUCCUGAGUUCAAUUCCCAG
RNAcentral lists this transfer RNA (58 nucleotides) under Rattus norvegicus (Norway rat). It matches the Rfam family "tRNA", at positions 8 to 63 of the family's 71-position model. Rfam says of the family: Transfer RNA (tRNA) molecules are approximately 80 nucleotides in length. Their secondary structure includes four short double-helical elements and three loops (D, anti-codon, and T loops). The record is from Rfam by way of RNAcentral. Lineage: Eukaryota; Metazoa; Chordata; Mammalia; Rodentia; Muridae.